RNAcentral lists this ribosomal RNA (119 nucleotides) under Pteropus alecto (black flying fox). The record is from RNAcentral. Lineage: Eukaryota; Metazoa; Chordata; Mammalia; Chiroptera; Pteropodidae.
GUGUACAGCCACGCCACCCUGAACAAGCCCGAUCCCGUCUGAUCUCGGAAGCUAAGCAGGGUCGGGCCUGGUUAGUACUUGCAUGGGAGACCGCCUGGGAAUACCGGGCGCUGUAGGUG